Molecule: non-coding RNA, 3427 nt
Organism: Parasteatoda tepidariorum (common house spider)
Lineage: Eukaryota; Metazoa; Arthropoda; Arachnida; Araneae; Theridiidae
Source: RefSeq, a predicted model, not a curated record
AAAUGGAUUGAAAAUUUAAAUAUAAAACAUGAGACAAAUGAAAAAAUACAAAGAAUAGAUAAACUCACCUCAUGUUUAUUCACAAACCAUUUAAAAAAAAUAAAUUAAGUCAACUUGAUAGAUGAUUAAUUCGCAAAACAUCUUUUGUUUUAUAUGUUCCAGGAUGUAUAAUAAAUGUACAAAAAAUUAACUACAAUGCAUGAAGAUUGAGCAUGGAUUGUUCAAGAAAAAUGUAUGAAUCGUAACACUUGGAGACAUACUAUACACAUUUUUAGACAUACUAUGCGCACUUGUAGACAUACUAUGUGCACCCCCAAUGCACCUCAGUGCAUCAGGGCACACAGCCACGCCAGAAUAGAAAUCGUUUUUUUCAACAGGGGGAAAAGAUAGACUCCCAGAACUACCAUGUUGCCAUCACUUUUAGAGUCUAUCUUCGUGACGACAAGAGUGGGUGUGUCAGUUGUAGUAAGGUGGCUUCUGUGGGUGUUGGCUGCUCCUAUAAGAUCCGUCCAAUGCAUUUUUUUGCGUUAUUGUUAAACAAGUAUUUCACUUCAAAGCAUUUUACAAUAUGAUAAUUAAAUAACAAUUUUAUGAACAGAAUAUUAAAUAUUCAGAUUCUGUUAGUAAGAAAUGAAUCCAAUUUAGAUUUCAAAAUGACAUUUUCAAACAUUUAACAGAAGAGUUAGAUAACUUAAAGUAAAACUACAUAAUAUUUGUAAAUGAAUAUUUUUGAGUUAAUUUAUAUUUUAUUUAAUAGAAUAUUUCUUUUAAAAUUUUAUUUAUAUGUUAUUGUUUGAUUUGUAAUUUGCAGAAAAAUUUUUUCGAAGUUUUUCAUUAUCAUGCAAAGUUUACCACAUUUUUUUCAAAGCUGCUAUGCCUAAGAUUUUCAAAUCUUUCAUGAAGUAGGAACAUGACAUAUAAUAAACAAUUGUUAUACAGCUGUUUCAAACAGAAGUGAGCGAUUCUAUAUAAUUAAGGUUAAAUUAAUUAUGUUUAAUAAUAAAAUUUUGUUGUUCAUGCUAAUAAAAGUGUCGAAUAAUUUGAGGGGCAGAUUAUUUUUUAGUUAUAUGAGUCAGUUUUUCUUUCACAGGGUGGCCACUCACUCUGGAAACCGGGAAUUCUCAGGGAAUUUUGAAAUACCAUUAGAAAACCGGGAAUUCUCAGGGAAUUUCACGUUGAUUCUGGAAAAUAAUUUUGUUGCGCAUUGCUGCUCUUUUCUUCCCAUUCCGUUAUGUUUAGUUUUUCGGAGCGAAACGCGUCUGCUGCAUCGCGAUCAAGCAUCACGUGAUUAUCCUCCACUGAACGCUUCGUGUCCUUGUGCCUCUUUGUGGAUGUUGGAACUGAAGAACAAGAAUCAGUAAGAAAAUCGGAGCAGUGUUCAAAGGAAGUUCGUUCUGGAAUGAUAUUGGUGGCUUGAAACGAUGGCGCCUGGUUUUAAAACAUCAUUUAAGACAGAAUGGAUGGAAAUUCCUCAUUAUGCCCCAUGGUUACGUGAGUGCCUGGCUGUCAAAUUUUCUGCAGUGUGUAAAUUAUGUAAUUCUGUAUCUUCCCUGAGCAAUAUGGGAAAACAAGCACUAACUAGUCAUCAGAAAUCCAGGAAACACAAAAAAGCCAUUAUUAGCAGAAAUAUGUUUGAUGACUUAAGGAGUGCAUUUGGUGAACAAGAUUCUACUACCAAAAACCUUGUAUUAAAUUCUCUAAAUGAGCUAACUAAAAAGGAUGCAACAUUAGUUUCUUUUCUGAGAUCAGAAAGUGUAUCAGAAGCAGAUAUCUUGUGGUGUUUGUAUGCAGUGAUGGAACACUCUUCUUUUCGUUCUGCGGGUCGGGCAGUACUUUAAAUGAAAAAAAUGUUUACUGAUAGUGAGAUAGUGAAAAAAAUAUCUCUACAAAGAACCAAAAUAACAUACACCUGUGUUCAUGGUAUUGCUCCAUAUUAUAGGGAGCAAUUGCAAAAAAACCAUAGCUAGCUGUGAUUAUUUAGUUAUGGGCUUUGAUGAAAGUCUAAAUAAAAUCGCUCAGAAACAACAAAUGGAUGUAAGUGUUCGACUUUGGAAUAAAGAUACAAAUAAAGUCCAGACACGAUAUUUGACAUCAGUAUUUCUUGGUCAUUCGACAGCAAAGGAUUUGUUGGAUUAUUUCAAAGAAGCCCUUGCCCAAUUUUCCAUCAAUAAAAAUUAAAUAAUUCAAAUAUCUAUGGAUGGACCUAAUGUCAACCAUAAAUUUCUUAAUGAUCUUAAAAAAGAACUUGAGUAAAUGCCGCAAGAUCCUGUGCUGUUAGAUAUAGGUAGCUGUGGACUGCAUACAGUCCAUUGUGGAUUUAAACAUGCAAUAAAGUCUACAGGGUGGAAUGUAGUGGACUUUUUACAGUCGCUAUACUACAUUUUUAAAGAUGUAGCAUCACAUAGAGCUGAUUUUAUAUAUUUCACUGGAUGUGAAAAAUUUCCAAAGAAAUUUUGUGCAAUCCAAUGGGUUCAAAAUGUAGAAGUUGCUGAGAGGGCAUUAGAAAUGUUGCCUCAUAUUUUCAAAUUUGUAAAAGCAGCAAAGGAGAAAAAAAUCUAUGUUGUCUCAAAAAAUUUCAGUGUACUCUCGGAGUGUAUCAAAGACAGUUUCUUUGCUGCAAAAUUGGCAUUUUUCCAGUCAUUAGCUGCUUUUAUUGAACCAUUUCUCACAGAAUUUCAGAGUGAUGCUCCAUUAGCUCCUUUACUUUUCUCUAAUUUAACAUCAAUUUUUAGAUCUCUUCUUGAUAAAUUUGUAAAACCCGAUAUUUUAGUGGAGAACUCUUCAAAAUUAGGAAAAAUAGAUUUGUCACUGGUUGCAGUUUUCAGUUAAGGAUGAAAUAAGGAAAAUAAAAGAUUCUUCACCUUCUGAAGAAUUUUCAUUUAAGAAAGAAUGUGCAAUUGCUUAUAAAAAAUUCUGUGAAAAGAUUUUAGAAAGAUCACCUUUAAAAUUUCAGUUAACAAGGGGGCUAUCUUGUCUUGAUCCUGGUGUAAUUUUAAAUACAGCAAUUGCUGAAAAACGGCUUUCAUCUUGCCUUUCAAUGUUGGUAUCUAGCAAGUGGAUAUCAGGUAUCAAGGCUGACAGUGUGAAAGAUAGUUACAAAACGUUCAUUCGGAAUCCUAUAGUUAAGAAAGAAAUGGAGCAAUUUGAGAAGAGGGAAAAACGACUGGAUAAUGUUUUCUUCUCUCUAUUUGAAGUUUGCAAUGCACCAGAAAAUGUACGUUCCUUUGUUAAGUUUUUCCUCAUAUUGUCACACGAAAGUGCUUUUAUAGAAAGGGGCUUUUCUAUUAAUUCAGAUUGUUUAAUAGAAAAUCAACAUGAAGAUAGUUUAGUUGCUCUAAAGCAAAUUCAUGAUGGUGGUGUUGACAAUAUAACUGUGACGAAAUCCAUGAUAAACUACGGAAAACAGUCUCACACACGUUAUAUCGAA